GACGAACGCUGGCGGCGUGCUUAACACAUGCAAGUCGAACGGGCCUGUCUUCUUUUUUGGGGGUGGGUUGAGUGGCGAACGGGUGAGUAUCACGUGAGUAACCUGCCCUUCGGUCCUGGAUAACCGCUUGAAAGGGCGGCUAAUACGGGGUGGUCCGGUUGGUCCGCAUGGGCUGGUCGGGAUAGAUUCACUGUUUUUGGUGUUUCGGCGGGGGAUGGGCUCGCGGCCUAUCAGCUUGUUGGUGGGGUGAUGGCCUACCAAGGCGGUGACGGGUAGCCGGCCUGAGAGGGUGGGCGGCCACACUGGGACUGAGAUACGGCCCAGCCUCCUGCGGGAGGCAGCAGUGGGGGGUAUUGCACAAUGGGCGGAAGCCUGAUGCAGCGACGUCGCGUGAGGGAUGGAGGCCUUCGGGUUGUGAACCUCUGUUUCCGGUGGUGAAGGCCCUGUCCGUGUGGUGGGGUUGACGGUAGCCGGGGAUGAAGCGCCGGCUAACUACGUG
RNAcentral lists this ribosomal RNA (499 nucleotides) under uncultured bacterium. RNAcentral's name for it is "partial 16S ribosomal RNA". It matches the Rfam family "Bacterial small subunit ribosomal RNA", at positions 28 to 507 of the family's 1533-position model. The record is from RNAcentral.